UACACUCCUACGGGAGGCAGCAGUGGGGAAUAUUGCACAAUGGGCGCAAGCCUGAUGCAGCCAUGCCGCGUGUAUGAAGAAGGCCUUCGGGUUGUAAAGUACUUUCAGCGGGGAGGAAGGCGAUAAGGUUAAUAACCUUGUCGAUUGACGUUACCCGCAGAAGAAGCACCGGCUAACUCCGUGCCAGCAGCCGCGGUAAUACGGAGGGUGCAAGCGUUAAUCGGAAUUACUGGGCGUAAAGCGCACGCAGGCGGUCUGUCAAGUCGGAUGUGAAAUCCCCGGGCUCAACCUGGGAACUGCAUUCGAAACUGGCAGGCUAGAGUCUUGUAGAGGGGGGUAGAAUUCCAGGUGUAGCGGUGAAAUGCGUAGAGAUCUGGAGGAAUACCGGUGGCGAAGGCGGCCCCCUGGACAAAGACUGACGCUCAGGUGCGAAAGCGUGGGGAGCAAACAGGAUUAGAAACCCGGGUAGUCCCAU
RNAcentral lists this ribosomal RNA (475 nucleotides) under uncultured organism. RNAcentral's name for it is "partial 16S ribosomal RNA". It matches the Rfam family "Bacterial small subunit ribosomal RNA", at positions 332 to 798 of the family's 1533-position model. The record is from RNAcentral.